Molecule: ribosomal RNA, 458 nt
Filed under: uncultured bacterium
Lineage: Bacteria
Description: partial 16S ribosomal RNA
Rfam family: Bacterial small subunit ribosomal RNA
Source: RNAcentral
CCUACGGGAGGCAGCAGUGAGGAAUAUUGGUCAAUGGGCGAGAGCCUGAACCAGCCAAGUCGCGUGAGGGAGUACUGCCCUAUGGGUUGUAAACCUCUUUUGUCGGGGAGCAAAAGCCGGACGUGUCCGGCUGUGAGAGUACCCGAAGAAAAAGCAUCGGCUAACUCCGUGCCAGCAGCCGCGGUAAUACGGGGGAUGCGAGCGUUAUCCGGAUUUAUUGGGGUGAAAGGGUGCGCAGGCGGAUUUUUAAGUCAGCGGUCAAAUCGUGGGGCUCAACCCCAUCCAGCCGUUGAAACUGGGGAUCUAGAGUGUGCGAGAGGUAGGCGGAAUGCGUGGUGUAGCGGUGAAAUGCAUAGAUAUCACGCAGAACCCCGAUGGCGAAGGCAGCAUACCGGUGCACAACUGACGCUCAGGCACGAAAGCGUGGGUAUCGAACAGGAUUAGAUACCCUUGUAGUC